CCCUUAGAUGUCCUGGGCCGCACGCGCGUUACACUGAUGCAUUCAACGAGCUUAUAACCUUGGCCGAGAGGCCUGGGCAAUCUUGUUAACGUGCAUCGUGAUAGGAAUAGAUUAUUGCAAUUUUUAAUCUUGAACGAGGAAUUCCUAGUAAACGCAGAUCAUCAAUCUGCAUUGAUUACGUCCCUGCCCUUUGUACACACCGCCCGUCGCACCUACCGAUUGAAUGGUCCGGUGAAGCCUCGGGAUUGUAGCAAUCUACCUUUAUUGGUGGUUUGUUGCAAGAACUUGUCUAAACCUUAUCAUUUAGAGGAAGGUGAAGUCGUAACA
RNAcentral lists this ribosomal RNA (327 nucleotides) under uncultured eukaryote. RNAcentral's name for it is "partial 18S ribosomal RNA". It matches the Rfam family "Eukaryotic small subunit ribosomal RNA", at positions 1470 to 1796 of the family's 1831-position model. The record is from RNAcentral.